This 251-nucleotide ribosomal RNA is filed under the name uncultured Synergistaceae bacterium. Its description in RNAcentral is "partial 16S ribosomal RNA". It matches the Rfam family "Bacterial small subunit ribosomal RNA", at positions 78 to 339 of the family's 1533-position model. The record is from RNAcentral. Lineage: Bacteria; Thermotogati; Synergistota; Synergistia; Synergistales; Synergistaceae.
GGUAACACGGAAUGGCAUACGGAGUAGCGGACGGGUGAGUACAACAUGAGAAGCUGUCCUUCAGUGGGGGACAACGUCUGGAAGCGGACGCUAAUACCCCAUAGGCCGAGAGGUUAAAGCAGAGAUGCGCUGGAGGAGGUGCUCGUGCCCUAUCAGCUAGUUGGUGAGGUAACGGCUCACCAAGGCGACGACGGGUAGCCGGCCUGAGAGGGUGAACGGCCACACUGGAACUGAGAUACGGUCCAGACUCC